RNAcentral lists this ribosomal RNA (403 nucleotides) under uncultured bacterium. Its description in RNAcentral is "partial 16S ribosomal RNA". It matches the Rfam family "Bacterial small subunit ribosomal RNA", at positions 28 to 526 of the family's 1533-position model. The record is from RNAcentral.
GACGAACGCUGGCGGCGUGCCUAAUACAUGCAAGUCGAACGCAGUGGGGACGGGUGAGUAACACGUGGGUAACCUCCCAUCAGAGGGGAUAACACUUGGAAACAGGUGCUAAACCGAUACUGAUGGAUGGACCCGCGGGGCAUUAGCCAGUUGGUGAGGUAACGGCUCAACAGGGCGACGAUGCAUAGCUGGCCGGAGAGGGUGAGCAGCCAGACGGGGACUGAGACACGGCCCAGACUCCUACGGGAGGCAGCAGUAGGGAAUCUUCGGCAAUGGACGAAAGUCUGACGGAGCCACGCCGCGUGAGUGAAGAAGGUUUUCGGAUCGGAAAGCUCUGUUGUUAGGGAAGCGGUAUCUAACCAGAAAGCCACGGCUAACUACGUGCCAGCAGCCGCGGUAAUAC